This 235-nucleotide ribosomal RNA is filed under the name uncultured bacterium. RNAcentral describes it as "partial 16S ribosomal RNA". It matches the Rfam family "Bacterial small subunit ribosomal RNA", at positions 524 to 757 of the family's 1533-position model. The record is from RNAcentral.
UACGUAGGGUGCAAGCGUUGUCCGGAAUUAUUGGGCGUAAAGAGCUCGUAGGCGGUUUGUUGCGUCGGCUGUGAAAUCCCGAGGCUCAACCUCGGGUCUGCAGUCGAUACGAGCAAACUAGAGUGUUGCAGGGGAGACUGGAAUUCCUGGUGUAGCGGUGAAAUGCGCAGAUAUCAGGAGGAACACCGGUGGCGAAGGCGGAUCUCUGGGCCAUUACUGACGCUGGAGGAGCGAA